RNAcentral lists this unclassified non-coding RNA (486 nucleotides) under Hevea brasiliensis (rubber tree). The record is from RNAcentral. Lineage: Eukaryota; Viridiplantae; Streptophyta; Magnoliopsida; Malpighiales; Euphorbiaceae.
GAUGGUGGCAAUGUCAAAAUCAGAACCUCGACUAGUCCAAAAGAUAAUGCCACUAGAGACCGUCAUAAGGUACAGAAGAAUAAAUGUUGUAUAAGAUCACAACUGAUUACACAUUCAAAUGCAAGGAUAAAUGAACGAAAACAACGAAACCUCGAAGGGAAAAUGUAAAAGUAUUGAGCAGAAAGAAGUUGAUAAUGGCUAUGGCUAUGUCACUAUGUGGCAGUUUGAUCCUCGUCGGCAGCAGGAGCAGCAGUUGCUUCCUGAGGUUUGUGAGAAGUGCCAUUGGCAGUAGCAGCUCCAGGUGCAGGAUCAGACGCUUUUGUUGCUGCAUCUUUUUCAUUUUUAGCAUCCUUUCCAUCCUUACCAUCUUUUGCAUCUUUGACAUCCUUGGCAGGUGGGGGUGGGGGUGGUUUCAUAUGAGGCGGGGGUGUGUGCUUCAAUUUCACGAGAAUUUGCCGCAUUCUUGAAAGAUCGGUAGGUUUCCCA